GCCAGGGAGUGGUGGGGCCAUGUGGAGUUUGUUACAGAGGGCGGAGUGGGGUAGUGUCCGUUGUUGUGACUUGCCAGAGAGUUCGGGCCUGACAGCUGAAGCUCGGCUGUGACGUCUGAUGGAGCGGAAUGGCUCUCUAUCUCAGUAAUCUAAGAGAAGCUCGGAUGUUUUCAAGGUUGCUGACGAGUCCACUAUCAUCGGGUGCCUUGGGC
Molecule: long non-coding RNA, 212 nt
Filed under: Elaeis guineensis (African oil palm)
Lineage: Eukaryota; Viridiplantae; Streptophyta; Magnoliopsida; Arecales; Arecaceae
Description: long non-coding RNA (EGUI_LNC073051)
Source: RNAcentral